Molecule: ribosomal RNA, 398 nt
Filed under: Tuberculobruchus sinaitus
Lineage: Eukaryota; Metazoa; Arthropoda; Insecta; Coleoptera; Chrysomelidae
Description: partial 12S small subunit ribosomal RNA
Source: RNAcentral
UAAACUAGGAUUAGAUACCCUAUUAUUAUAAAUGUAAAUUUAAAAUACUUAAUUAGUAUUAGUUAUUUUCUUGAAAAUUAAAAAAUUUGGCGGUAUUUUAGUCUUUUCAGAGGAACCUGUCCUGUAAUUGAUAAUCCACGAUUAUAUAUACUUUAAUUUUUAGUUUACAUAUCGUUGUAGAUUGAAUAUUUUAAUAGAAUUUGAAUAUUCAAGAUUUUUUAUUAGAAAAUAAAUCAGAUCAAGGUGUAGCUUAUAUUUAAGAAGAGGUGGGUUACAUUAAAAUUAUUUUAGGAUAUUUUUUUUAAAAAGAAAUUGAAUUUGGAUUUGAUAGUAAUUUAAUAUAUUUAUUUAAAAUGAUUAUAGCUCUAAAAUAUGCACACAUCGCCCGUCGCUCUUAA